AGAGUUUGAUCCUGGCUCAGGACGAACGCUUGCGGCGUGCCUAAGAAAUGCAAGUCGAGCGGGGUUAUACGCUGAACGAAGCUUCGGCAGAGUUCUUGUAUAGCCUAGCGGCGAACGGUCGCGUAACACGUAAGCAACCUGCCCUGAAGUGUGGGAUAGCCCGCCGAAAGGCGGAUUAAUACCGCAUGUGGAUAUUUCCC
This 200-nucleotide ribosomal RNA is filed under the name uncultured bacterium. RNAcentral's name for it is "partial 16S ribosomal RNA". It matches the Rfam family "Bacterial small subunit ribosomal RNA", at positions 8 to 187 of the family's 1533-position model. The record is from RNAcentral.